CUGGCCGAGAAGGACGGCUGGCACAGGGCACUCCCUGUAGCAGGGCAGAUGGAGAAUUCAGCGAGAGCCAGAACUGAGUGCCAGAUGGGCCUGGAGCCGUGUCAGCCUGCUGAGAAUCCCCGGAGAGCCGACGGGCACCAAGCCCAGUGUUGUUGAAAUGUGGCAGGACAAGGUGACCCCAGAUGGCCGGCAGGCUUGAGGGAGAAGCAGCAAGAGGAAGAACCCUGCAGACGUCUCCGUGGUAUUUUCAUCAACACGGCAGCCUCCUGAGCACGUACACCCUGAAGCCAGGGCCUGGCUCCAAAGAGCGGUGGGACCAGAGCCCCUCGCGGGGAGGCAGGGAAGCUGUGUGGAGGGGAGCACACCUCCCUCCCUCCCUCUCUCCUUCCCUCCCUCCCAGAUCUGGCCCUUAGCACCUGCCUGACUCCCAUGUCUUCUGUCCUGUGGGGGCAGGGGCCAUGACUGGGUGCUCCACCUUU
RNAcentral lists this long non-coding RNA (479 nucleotides) under Homo sapiens (human). RNAcentral's name for it is "HSALNT0126157". The record is from RNAcentral. Lineage: Eukaryota; Metazoa; Chordata; Mammalia; Primates; Hominidae.